AGGAUGAACGCUGGCGGCGUGCUUAACACAUGCAAGUCGAACGAAGCAGUUUAUUACGAUCCUUUCGGGGUGACGAUUUACUGACUGAGUGGCGGACGGGUGAGUAACGCGUGGGUAACCUGCCUUGUACAGGGGACAACAGUUGGAAACGACUGCUAAUACCGCAUAAGCGCACAGCUUCGCAUGAAGCAGUGUGAAAGUAUUUUCGGUACAAGAUGGACCCGCGUCUGAUUAGCUAGUUGGUGAGGUAACGGCCCACCAAGGCGACGAUCAGUAGCCGACCUGAGAGGGUGACCGGCCACAUUGGGACUGAGACACGGCCCAAACUCCUACGGGAGGCAGCAGUGGGGAAUAUUGCACAAUGGGCGAAAGCCUGAUGCAGCCGACGCCGCGUGAGCGAAGAAGUAUUUCGGUAUGUAAAGCUCUAUCAACAGGGAAGAUAAUGACGGUACCUGACUAAGAAGCACCGGCUAAAUACGUGCCAGCAGCGGC
RNAcentral lists this ribosomal RNA (492 nucleotides) under uncultured bacterium. RNAcentral describes it as "bacterial SSU rRNA". It matches the Rfam family "Bacterial small subunit ribosomal RNA", at positions 26 to 518 of the family's 1533-position model. The record is from RNAcentral.